Molecule: long non-coding RNA, 515 nt
Organism: Humulus lupulus (European hop)
Lineage: Eukaryota; Viridiplantae; Streptophyta; Magnoliopsida; Rosales; Cannabaceae
Exons: 3
Source: RefSeq, a predicted model, not a curated record
UUGAUUUGUAUGUUGUAUACUCAGAGUUCCUGCUAAUAUGCCACUGUACGAUAUAUUAAACGAGUUUCAGAAGGGCAGCAGUCAUAUGGCAGCUGUGGUGAAGACUAAAGGGAAAAGCAAGCUUCCUACAAUUGAUGGGGAGAAGACUUUUCUGUGGCUGCCUAGUAAUAAUUUUACAGAACAUGUCUAUUUCUAUAUGCAUCAAUGGAUUCUGACCAGUUAAGCUCUGGAAUUUCAGAUUUUGAUACUCACUUUCAAGGCCUCAUAGUUCAGAAAAGUGAUGAUGACGACUCUGAGAAUGAGUCGGCACUUGAAAUUCAGCCAUACUUGAUGGAAGAAAAAUUGUCGAAGCACUUGAUAAUCACUUGACUGCUAUCCAAAGGGACCAUGAACUCAGGUCCCAAAUAGAAGAAAGGAAAAUAAGAAGUGAUGCGGCUUAUGAAGGGGCCAAAAGAAAAGAGAAAGCUCUCCUGGAAGAAAAUGUAUCUUGUAAUUUUUUGUUUUUCAUUUUUGAA